GACGAACGCUGGCGGCGUGCUUAACACAUGCAAGUCGAACGGUGAAGCGAGUGCUUGCACUCGUGGAUCAGUGGCGAACGGGUGAGUAACACGUGAGUAACCUGCCCAUCACUCUGGGAUAAGCACUGGAAACGGUGUCUAAUACUGGAUACGACCAACCCUUGCAUGGGGUGUUGGUGGAAAGAUUUAUCGGUGAUGGAUGGACUCGCGGCCUAUCAGCUUGUUGGCGGGGUAAUGGCCCACCAAGGCGACGACGGGUAGCCGGCCUGAGAGGGUGACCGGCCACACUGGGACUGAGACACGGCCCAGACUCCUACGGGAGGCAGCAGUGGGGAAUAUUGCACAAUGGGCGAAAGCCUGAUGCAGCGGCGCCGCGUGAGGGAUGACGGCCUUCGGGUUGUAAACCUCCUUCAGCAGGGAAGAAGCGAAAGUGACGGUACCUGCAGAAGAAGCACCGGCUAACUACGUG
RNAcentral lists this ribosomal RNA (469 nucleotides) under uncultured bacterium. RNAcentral's name for it is "partial 16S ribosomal RNA". It matches the Rfam family "Bacterial small subunit ribosomal RNA", at positions 28 to 507 of the family's 1533-position model. The record is from RNAcentral.